This is a long non-coding RNA of Tripterygium wilfordii, 1137 nucleotides long. RefSeq lists it as uncharacterized. NCBI's taxonomy places the organism in Eukaryota, Viridiplantae, Streptophyta, Magnoliopsida, Celastrales, Celastraceae. The transcript is spliced from 2 exons. The record is from RefSeq and is a predicted model, not a curated record.
GAUUCUAUUAUCUCCGAAAUUGAUCCCAGCAAGGAGUCAGCAAGACUAGUGAUUGCAGUCGUUCCUGUGUUUAGCUGGAGGAAGAGCAAUACAAUAAUAUCAAUCUAAGAGCGAUAUAUUUCAAAUUUGAUCAUGCUCAGGAUUCUGUACUCAAAACUUAUAACCGACAUCAAGACUAAUAGUCUACCACUGAGUCAGUGAAUCAUCAUUUUCUAUAAGCUGCUGAGUGAUCUAUUCUUGUUCUGCUCUUAAUGAUGUCGACAUGCUAACAGUGAAAGAUGGAGUAAAUGUGUACAAAGAUCUUGUCUCUGAAGAUUUUUAUCUGAUAUGACAAUAGAUUAACCUUCUGCUCCCAAAACAAGUUCAGGUAAGUAAAGUUUUAUCUAUGAUUACUGAAGCAGCGAAAAUUAUUCGCAGAUUUAUCAGUCUUAACUCGAAAGUUCAUAAAAACUUUUGUAAGUUAAGGAAAAAUUAAGAAGUCGAAAGCAUAGAAGAUUAAGGUCAUACCGACAUCCAACUGAAGCAGCUGUUUGCAACGAGCUAGCAAAGCUGAGAUGCGCAUCCAAACUUGUACUGCUAACUUCCUCUAGAGAGACUUUCAGAAGGAUGAGGUGGUAAGCCAUUGAAUCAGUCAUUGACAGUUAACCAUAUAUUAUCUUAUACUCUUGAAAGCGAUUUUCCUUGCCAGAAUAUUUAUACAUAACCUAAUCUAUCUCACCAUGCCCCCACCAUGUAUGAAUGUCAAAUGCUUUUAGGUAGAUAACUUGACGAAGAAAGCAAGCUACAGAAGAAAAUAGGCUGACUAGGUCAGCUCCAGUUGCUGGGAACAGUGUUGAACAAUUGUUUUGAGUUAUGGUUUAAGGUUUGUUGACUUUGAUCCGAAAUUUGAUCAAGGAAUAAAGGGUUGCUUAUGUUUAAGAGGUCUGCAAUAUGUCUAUAUCUUCACCGAAGCUGAUAUGCUUGAUGGGUCAGUGUGGUGUGCAAGGCUAGAUAAGUAGAUAGCACAAAGCCUUUAUGGGACAUUUACUGGCUUUCUUCUUCAUAUUUUUGUAUUUUAGGAAUCCUAAUUUUGUCCUAACACAAUUGUAUUAUUAUACGUUUAUUUUUAGUCAAUAUGAAACUUAAAAAAUGAUCCUA